GACGAACGCUGGCGGCGUGCUUAACACAUGCAAGUCGAACGGAAAGGCCCUGCUUUUGUGGGGUGCUCGAGUGGCGAACGGGUGAGUAACACGUGAGUAACCUGCCCUUGACUUUGUGAUAACUUCAGGAAACUCGGGCUAAUACCGGAUAGGAGCUCCUGCUGCAUGGUGGGGGUUGGAAAGUUUCGGCGGUUGGGGAUGGACUCGCGGCUUAUCAGCUUGUUGGUGGGGUAGUGGCUUACCAAGGCUUUGACGGGUAGCCGGCCUGAGAGGGUGACCGGCCACAUUGGGACUGAGAUACGGCCCAGACUCCUACGGGAGGCAGCAGUGGGGAAUAUUGCACAAUGGGCGGAAGCCUGAUGCAGCAACGCCGCGUGCGGGAUGACGGCCUUCGGGUUGUAAACCGCUUUCGCCUGUGACGAAGCGUGAGUGACGGUAAUGGGUAAAGAAGCACCGGCUAACUACGUG
This 468-nucleotide ribosomal RNA is filed under the name uncultured bacterium. RNAcentral's name for it is "partial 16S ribosomal RNA". It matches the Rfam family "Bacterial small subunit ribosomal RNA", at positions 28 to 507 of the family's 1533-position model. The record is from RNAcentral.